GACGAAGAACGCAGCGAAAUGCGAUACGUAGUGUGAAUUGCAGAAUUCAGUGAAUCAUCGAAUCUUUGAACGCACAUUGCACCUCUCGGUAUUCCGGGAGGUAUGCCUGUUCGAGCGUCAUUUGUACCCUCAAGCUCUGCUUGGUGUUGGGUGUUUGUUCCGCCUCUGUGUGUGAACUCGCCUCAAAACAAUUGGCAGCCGGCGUACUUGUUUCGGAGCGCAGCACAUUUUGCGAUCCAGAUCAACGUACAGCGGCAUCCAAGAAGCCUUAUUUAACGCUCUUGACCUCGGAUCAGGUAGGGAUACCCGCUGAACUUAAGCAUAUCAAUAAGCGGAGGA
This 339-nucleotide unclassified non-coding RNA is filed under the name soil metagenome. RNAcentral describes it as "partial contains 5.8S ribosomal RNA, internal transcribed spacer 2, and large subunit ribosomal RNA". The stretch from base 1 to 120 matches the Rfam family "5.8S ribosomal RNA", at positions 35 to 154 of the family's 154-position model. The record is from RNAcentral.